This is a long non-coding RNA of Rosa rugosa (rugosa rose), 464 nucleotides long. RefSeq lists it as uncharacterized. The transcript has 2 exons. The record is from RefSeq and is a predicted model, not a curated record. Lineage: Eukaryota; Viridiplantae; Streptophyta; Magnoliopsida; Rosales; Rosaceae.
CUAUAAGUCUCUCUCUGACAGGUUAUGGAGGUCAUGAAGAUAUUGGAGAUUGACCUUGAAAGUGGAUGGAUUUUGCCCAAGUUAUUUCAGGAUAAUCCGCCAAAUGUGCAUUGUGAAAUUCGAUGAUCGAGUAGUUUCCACUGCAGGGAUUGAACUACAAUCUGGAUCAAAUUUGAGUGAUAUUGGUGGGAGUUCAGGUUGGGAAUGAUACACAUGCAGAACCUAAGAAACAGAAUAAAAUCUGGAUCAAUUUUUUUUAUUACAGAACCUCUUUUUUUUUUUUUUUUUGCAUCAGAUGAACAGUUAUUUCUUCAUUCUUAGAUCAAAAAUUAUAUUUAGAAUACAUACUUAAUUCUUUUUCAUGUUUGAUGAAGCUCAUCUUUGUAUUCCAUGUUCAGUGGGUAAUCUGAGUGUUAAAAAAGAAAAUUUCCAAUAUGAUCAGAAUUAGUUUACAUUUAAUGAAA